Molecule: transfer RNA, 59 nt
Filed under: Bescherellia cryphaeoides
Lineage: Eukaryota; Viridiplantae; Streptophyta; Bryopsida; Hypnodendrales; Spiridentaceae
Description: partial tRNA-Phe
Rfam family: tRNA
About the family: Transfer RNA (tRNA) molecules are approximately 80 nucleotides in length. Their secondary structure includes four short double-helical elements and three loops (D, anti-codon, and T loops).
Source: RNAcentral
AAAGCUGGAAUAGCUCAGUUGGUAGAGCAGAGGACUGAAAAUCCNCGUGUCACAGUUCA